UCCGAGUUGACCCCGGCAGUCUCCUGCGAGUCCCCAACUAAAUGCUGGCAACACAGGAUAAGGGUUGCGCUCGUUGCGGGACUUAACCCAACAUCACACGACACGAGCUGACGACAGCCAUGCAGCACCUGUGUGGAAAGCUCCAUUGCUGGAGAAGCACGAUCUCCCGUACAGUCUUUCCCAUGUCAAGCCUUGGUAAGGUUCUUCGCGUUGCGUCGAAUUAAACCACAUGCUCCACCGCUUGUGCGGGCCCCCGUCAAUUCCUUUGAGUUUCGGUCUUGCGACCGUACUCCCCAGGCGGAGUGUUUCACGCGUUAGCUGGGCCCCUGAUCCACGUAGACCAAGGGCGAACACUCAUCGUUUACGGCAUGGACUAC
RNAcentral lists this unclassified non-coding RNA (377 nucleotides) under uncultured bacterium. Its description in RNAcentral is "contains 16S-23S intergenic spacer region". The record is from RNAcentral.